RNAcentral lists this ribosomal RNA (497 nucleotides) under uncultured bacterium. RNAcentral's name for it is "partial 16S ribosomal RNA". It matches the Rfam family "Bacterial small subunit ribosomal RNA", at positions 28 to 507 of the family's 1533-position model. The record is from RNAcentral.
GAUGAACGCUGGCGGCGUGCCUAAUACAUGCAAGUCGAGCGAACGGACGAGAAGCUUGCUUCUCUGAUGUUAGCGGCGGACGGGUGAGUAACACGUGGAUAACCUACCUAUAAGACUGGGAUAACUUCGGGAAACCGUAGCUAAUACCGGAUAAUAUUUUGAACCGCAUGGUUCAAAAGUGAAAGACGGUCUUGCUGUCACUUAUAGAUGGAUCCGCGCUGCAUUAGCUAGUUGGUAAGGUAACGGCUUACCAAGGCAACGAUGCAUAGCCGACCUGAGAGGGUUAUCGGCCAACCUGGAACCUAGACACGGGCCCGAACCCUACGGGAGGCAGCAGUAGGGAAUCUUCCGCAAUGGGCGAAAGCCUGACGGAGCAACGCCGCGUGAGUGAUGAAGGUCUUCGGAUCGUAAAACUCUGUUAUUAGGGAAGAACAUAUGUGUAAGUAACUGUGCACAUCUUGACGGUACCUAAUCAGAAAGCCACGGCUAACUACGUG